Molecule: transfer RNA, 74 nt
Filed under: Crella elegans
Lineage: Eukaryota; Metazoa; Porifera; Demospongiae; Poecilosclerida; Crellidae
Description: tRNA-Ile
Rfam family: tRNA
About the family: Transfer RNA (tRNA) molecules are approximately 80 nucleotides in length. Their secondary structure includes four short double-helical elements and three loops (D, anti-codon, and T loops). Further hydrogen bonds mediate the characteristic L-shaped molecular structure. tRNAs have two regions of fundamental functional importance: the anti-codon, which is responsible for specific mRNA codon recognition, and the 3' end, to which the tRNAs corresponding amino acid is attached (by aminoacyl-tRNA synthetases). tRNAs cope with the degeneracy of the genetic code in two manners: having more than one tRNA (with a specific anti-codon) for a particular amino acid; and 'wobble' base-pairing, i.e. permitting non-standard base-pairing at the 3rd anti-codon position.
Source: RNAcentral
CAGUAUAUGGCUUAAAUAGGUGGAGCAUGGUCUUGAUAAGGCCAAGGUUGUGGGUUCAAUUCCCACUUUAUUGA